RNAcentral lists this ribosomal RNA (473 nucleotides) under uncultured bacterium. RNAcentral describes it as "bacterial SSU rRNA". It matches the Rfam family "Bacterial small subunit ribosomal RNA", at positions 28 to 534 of the family's 1533-position model. The record is from RNAcentral.
GAUGAAUGCUGGCGGCGUGCCUAACACAUGCAAGUCGAGCGGCAGCGCGGUCUUCGGACUGGCGGCGAGCGGCGGACGGCUGAGUAACGCGUGGGAACGUAUCCCAAAGUGAGGAAUAACUGCCCGAAAGGGUGGCUAAUGCCGCAUAUGGUCUUCGGAUUAAAGGAUUUAUCCGCUUUGGGAACGGCCUGCGUACGAUUAGAUAGUUGGUGAGGUAAUGGCUCACCAAGUCAGCGAUCGUUAACUGGUCUGAGAGGAUGAUCAGUCAGACUGGAACUGAGACACGGUCCAGACUCCUACGGGAGGCAGCAGUGAGGAAUCUUCCACAAUGGGCGAAAGCCUGAUGGAGCAACGCCGCGUGCAGGAUGAAGGCCUUCGGGUCGUAAACUGCUUUUAUAAGUGAAGAAUAUGACGGUAGCUUAUGAAUAAGCACCGGCUAACUACGUGCCAGCAGCCGCGGUAAACGUAGCGUG